AUGCUUAGCACAUGCAAGUCGAGCGAGAAUCGUUUUGCUGAAGGCUUCGGUCCGAUGCAGAAUGAGGAAAGCGGCGAACGGGUGAGUAACGCGUGGGCAACCUGGCCUUAAGAAAAGGAUAGCCCCCGGAAACGGGGAGUAAUACUUUAUGAGAAUAGAAAAGGGCAUCCUGUUUCUAUUCAAAGCGCAAGCGCUUAAGGAUGGGCCCGCGUAUCAUUAGCUAGUUGGUGAGAUAACAGCCCACCAAGGCAACGAUGAUUAGCCGGUCUGAGAGGGCGAACGGCCACAUUGGAACUGAGAGACGGUCCAAACUCCUACGGGAGGCAGCAGUGGGGAAUAUUGCGCAAUGGAGAAGAACUCUGACGCAGCAAUACCGCGUGAGCGAAGAAGGUCUUCGGAUCGUAAAGCUCUGUUAUCAGGGAAGAAGAAAAUGACGGUACCUGAUGAGCAAGUCCCGGCUAACUACGUGCCAGCCGCCGCGGUAA
This 485-nucleotide ribosomal RNA is filed under the name uncultured bacterium. RNAcentral describes it as "partial 16S ribosomal RNA". It matches the Rfam family "Bacterial small subunit ribosomal RNA", at positions 44 to 523 of the family's 1533-position model. The record is from RNAcentral.